This 253-nucleotide ribosomal RNA is filed under the name uncultured bacterium. Its description in RNAcentral is "partial 16S ribosomal RNA". It matches the Rfam family "Bacterial small subunit ribosomal RNA", at positions 524 to 776 of the family's 1533-position model. The record is from RNAcentral.
CACGUAGGGUGCAAGCGUUAAUCGGAAUUACUGGGCGUAAAGCGUGCGCAGGCGGUUUUGUAAGUCAGAUGUGAAAUCCCCGGGCUUAACCUGGGAACUGCGUUUGAAACUACAAGGCUAGAGUGUGGCAGAGGGGGGUGGAAUUCCACGUGUAGCAGUGAAAUGCGUAGAGAUGUGGAGGAACACCGAUGGCGAAGGCAGCCUCCUGGGCCAGCACUGACGCUCAUGCACGAAAGCGUGGGGAGCAAACAGG